This is a long non-coding RNA of Canis lupus familiaris (dog), 3407 nucleotides long. RefSeq lists it as uncharacterized. Lineage: Eukaryota; Metazoa; Chordata; Mammalia; Carnivora; Canidae. The record is from RefSeq and is a predicted model, not a curated record. The transcript has 3 exons.
UGGAGAUGGACAGUGGUGAUGACUACACAACAAUGUGAAUAUACUUAGUGCCAACAAAAUGGUUGGUGGUGACCUCAGGGAGAAGGGAACUGACAAAUAAAGUGUGCUUUAUUUCUAUAACAACAAAGAUCUGAAGCCAGUAUGGCAAAAUGUGAACAUCUAUAAAAUUGGAUUGGCUAAUUGUGUUGGUUAGCAUGUCUGUGAAACCUGAUUAAUAACAAUGAUGGACACCGGAAGCAGUUUAUCAGAGCAAUGGAGACCAUGCGCUAUGGAGUCAGACAACAUGGGUUCAAUCCUGGGGACCAAGUACUGUAAUAUAUGCAUGUCCUUUUGCACAUGCUUAAACUGCUAAAUGAUUAGGACGGUUUAUUGUUGUCUGCUCCACAUUUUGGUCUUAUCUGGAUGGCUUCCUUUUUUUAAAGAUUUUAUUUAUUUAUUCAUGAGAGACACAGAGAGAGAGAGGCAGAGAGAGAAGAAGACUUCCUAUGAAGAGCCUGAUGCGGGACUCAUUCCCAGGAACCCAGGAUCACGACCUGAGCCAAAGGCAGACGCUCAACCACUGAGCCACCCAGGUGCCCCUUACCUGGAUGGUUUCUUCCAGGCGGUAGCACUCAAGGACCUGCAGUGUCUCUAUAACCUGGUUUGGGCUGAACUGACAUAGCAGCUCAAUGAACUGCUCCGUAACACAGGGAGACAUCUGCAGCAAUUCUUGAUUUACAUGAAUACCUUCCCUGAAAACAAAAACGGCAAGAGAGAAGCAUUAUUUAAGCAUAUCUAUAAUUAUGGUUACAAGUAAGUAUAUAAGCCUUGAAACCAAGAUUACCUUCUGGUGAGGUAAGUGGUAAAUUAAAAGACUCAGUGUUACUUAAGUUGUUAGGGUAAACCACGUUUUAUAACAGAGACAAUCUAAAUCACAACAGUACUCAGUUUACAUUGAAUAAUAAAGGAAAUGAUAUUCUGUGAAAGCUCCUCUAAAUAAAUACCAAAGUUGUACUGCUGCUCUAGAAGACACAAAAUUAAACAAUGAUCCAUUAUUAUAUUAAACCACCCUCCAGUCUUUACAAAUGCCCUUACAGCACCAAUCACAUCAUGGUGUUAAUAUUUUACCUUCAUCAGAGGUAAAUUUUAAUUAAUAUAGCUUUAUUAUCUUUAUUUAUCUUUCUUAUCUAAAGACUAUAAACUCUCAGAGGCUAGGUACCAGGUAUCUUCCUACUAAUGAAUUCCUAAAGCCUGCAACAGUGCCCUGCAUGUUGUAAGGGCUAAUUAUUUAGGUGUUGUUAAAAUAAAUCUAAAAAAUGGACGAGUAGUAGGAUACACAAUAUUUAUGUGUUCAUUUGUCUACUAUAUCAGCUAUUCAGAAAGCCCAUUAUUCACAAUAUCCACAUGAGAUAGAGAUACUGGGGUGCCUGGCUGGCUCAGUUGGUAGAGCAUGUGACUCUUGAUCUUGGGGUUGUGAGUUCAAGUCCCACAUUGGGCAUACAGCUGAAUUAAAAAAAAAAAAAAAGCUAGAAAAAUAAAAGGAUCAGUUUUAUCAUGGUGGACACUCAACUACCAGUGGCCAAAAGUAACUAUUUAGAAAAUCAACUACUGCUCAUUACAGAAUUAAGAAUCAUCUCUGUAGCUUCAAAAGAAGUCCGUUCCUUCUGAGAGCCCUAUCUUCUCUUUAGGACUCCUCAACUAAAGCUCCUUAUAUAAAAAGAAUCAGAAUAGGGUUAAUAAGAUACAAAAAUGCUUAGGAAACUAGCCUGUCGAAGAAAUGUGAAGGCAGAUGGUUUAAAGCAACACCUCCCAGCUUUUCUCACAUCAUGGCACACAGAGAAGGAUGGUAUUGGUAUGGCUCAUCAGAGUAAAGUAAGAAUGGUCACAGGGAGAUAUGGCUGCCCCAAGAGCUGAGGGGAUGAGUCUCCAGGCACAACUGUAACACAUGUGCAACACACCAACAGUCCCAGGCGGGAAUCUCUGGACUCCACUGAGAUCAAUCUGAGGUUAAAAAUACUCUACAAAUGAUGGUAAAUAGUACUCCUAUUUUUACUCAUAAGAAACUUCAGUUACAGAAAGAGGAAUUAUAUUUAGAGAUAGGAAAUCUUUCCUAAAUUAAGAAGAGUCUUGUGACACUCCAUUCUGACCAGAGGUUGAGUGAUAAACACAUUAAUUAAGUUCUGCUGCUUGAGGCUGUCAAUACUUGCUGAUGGGCUAAUUGAGUGUGUACUCAAAUUGGCUGUAAAUCUCUAAGAUCAAGUUUCCUUUCUUUUUUCUUUCUUUCUUUUGCAUUUCGUAACUGCUUUAACACAGUAUUUGCUAAGUAACUGGUUAUUCCCUAUGUAGACUAUCACCUUAGUUCCAUGUGUCCAUGUCCCAACUACACUAUAAAUUCUGAGAGCAAAGACUGUGUGGCAUUCAAUGUCUUCCAGCAUUCACACAGUCUUGGCACAUAAUAAAUAAGUACUCAGUAAAUAUACACUGCAUUGAACUGAAUUGACUGGCCACAAUGUACUGGAUUGCUUUCAGAAAAAGGGAACCAAAUAUAGGAUAGAGGGGUGAAAAUUACAAGGACAAUGACUCCACAGUCAGAUUGAGCUACAAAUGAAUCCUGUCAGAAAGUUCUGCAUGGACAAAAUAGAAAAUGUACAUGACAACAAAGGGAAAUGAUAGUUCUUUAUGUAGGAUCAAGGUUUUGUCUCAAUAGAAUACUCAGUAAAAGAAAAAAGGGAAUGCUAAUCAAUGGUCCUUGAUGUUAAGAUGAGUCAGUGUUCUUUUCAGAUGUUUAUAUCACAUUGGUAGGUAGGGUUAAUACUUUACCUUCAUCAGACUUCUGUUAAUAUGUCUCAUAAAUGCAAGACUAUGGAGCAAAUUAAGACUAGAUAUAAGCAUCUGCCACUGAAUCCCAGUGUUUGAUUCUUUCUAGAACAUUUACUGACAAAACUCUUUGCAAGUACUGAAGAUGUGAAUAUGCAUUAAAGCAAGCAAAUCUCUCAAACGAAUAGAUUUUGAUGCAUUCAUUUGUGAGGGAAAUAAUAUGGCUGCUGGGGAAAUGAUCAGUCAACAUCAACAUAAUAAAAACUUUAAUAAAUAGAGUAACAAUGAAUUUACAUCCAUUUCUGACUGCUGCUUAUCAGUCUUACACAUAAAUACAAUUUGUUAUAUCCAUUUCUCAAAGCUACUUGUUACUUUUCUAUUAGCUACCUGCUUUGCCACUGCUAACUUUAAUGUAUCAAAAUUAUGUGUAUUUUAGACUUAAACCUUAUCUACUCUUUUGGGAAUUUCUACUUUAAGAAUAGCACUGACUCGGCAGCCUGGGUGGCUCAACGGUUUGGCGCUUCAGCCCAGGAUGUGAUCCUGGAGACCCGGGAUCAAGUCCCAUGUCGGGCUCCCUGCAUGGAGCCUGCUUCUCCCUCUGCCUGUGUCUC